CAUGGAGGAGACAGAGCAGAGUAAAGCUGACAUCAUGUUGAGAUAUCUCCUGCUCUCUGCACUGCUUCUCUGGGCCCCAGGUGUAGGCUCGGCCUACGUGGAGCAGCUGCCCUUCCUCACAGGGGUUCUAGGAGAAUCCCAAACUCUGCAGUGUACAUUGAAAGAAACCAGCCACUACUGGAUGUACUGGUACUUGCAGCAGGAGGCAGAGGAGCUAGGGCAGCUCUUCUAUUCUUCAGGAGAUGGAUCUGGGACCAACUUCACAGCUAAGCCCAUGUCAGCCUGGAGGAAGAACAACAAUUGGCAUCUACAAUGGAAAAAGCUUUCACGGUCAGACUCAGCUGUGUAUUACUGCGCCUGCAGCACUGCACAGUGACACAGAGCCCUGGGACAGCCAGCAAAAACCCAGAGAGACAGAGACAGGGGAGGAGAUAGGGAAGCUGUGUGCGCCUAGG
Non-coding RNA from Caretta caretta (loggerhead turtle), 455 nucleotides. The record is from the annotation of a RefSeq genome assembly. Lineage: Eukaryota; Metazoa; Chordata; Testudines; Cheloniidae.